This 42633-nucleotide long non-coding RNA is filed under the name Glycine max (soybean). RNAcentral describes it as "long non-coding RNA (GMAX_LNC002819)". Lineage: Eukaryota; Viridiplantae; Streptophyta; Magnoliopsida; Fabales; Fabaceae. The record is from RNAcentral.
CAGACCUUGGUUUGCAGACAUGGCAAACUACAAAGCCACGGGAGUCAUUCCAGAGGAGUACACUUGGAAUCAGAGGAAGAAGUUCCUACACGACGCACGCUUCUAUGUUUGGGAUGACCCCCACUUGUUCAAAGCAGGGGCAGAUAAUGUAUUGAGAAGAUGUGUCACAAAGGAAGAAGCACGAAGCAUUCUUUGGCACUGUCACAGUUCAUCAUACGGCGGACAUCAUAGCGGGGACAGAACAGCAGCAAAAGUGUUACAAUCAGGUUUUUUCUGGCCCUCUCUUUUUAAAGAUGCUUACGAGUUUGUGCGUUGUUGUGAUAGAUGCCAAAGAACAGGGGGGAUAUCACGGAGAAAUGAGAUGCCGUUGCAGAACAUCAUGGAGGUGGAAAUAUUUGACUGUUGGGGCAUAGACUUCAUGGGACCCCUGCCUUCGUCAUACGGGAAUAUUUACAUCUUGGUAGCAGUUGACUAUGUCUCCAAGUGGGUGGAGGCCAUAGCUACGCCAAAAGACGAUGCCAGGGUUGUAAUCAAGUUUCUAAAGAAGAACAUUUUCUCCCGCUUCGGAGUCCCACGAGCCUUGAUCAGUGAUGGAGGAACGCAUUUCUGCAACAAUCAGUUGAAGAAAGUCCUGGAGCACUAUAAUGUCCGACAUAAGGUGGCCACACCUUAUCAUCCUCAGACGAAUGGCCAAGCAGAAAUUUCUAACAGGGAGCUCAAGCGAAUCCUUGAGAAGACAGUUGCAUCAUCCAGAAAGGAUUGGGCCUUGAAGCUCGAUGAUACUCUCUGGGCCUAUAGGACAGCGUUCAAGACCCCCAUCGGUUUAUCACCGUUCCAGCUAGUGUACGGGAAGUCAUGCCAUUUACCAGUAGAGUUGGAGCACAAAGCAUAUUGGGCUCUCCGAUUGCUUAACUUUGACAAUAAUGCAUGCGGGGAAAAAAGGAAAUUGCAGCUUCAGGAGUUAGAAGAGAUGAGACUGAAUGCCUAUGAAUCGUCCAGAAUUUACAAGGAAAGAACAAAGGCAUAUCAUGAUAAGAAGCUGCAGAGGAGAGAAUUCCAGCCAGGACAGCAGGUAUUGCUCUUUAACUCAAGACUAAGGCUGUUUCCAGGUAAGCUGAAAUCCAAGUGGUCUGGGCCGUUUAUCAUAAAAGAAGUUAGACCUCAUGGAGCAGUGGAAUUGGUGGACCCUAGAGAAGGGAGCUUCGAGAAGAAAUGGAUCGUCAAUGGCCAGCGCUUAAAGCCGUAUAACGGAGGACAAUUAGAGCGAUUGACGACCAUUAUCUAUUUAAAUGAUCCUUGAAAGAGCCUACUGUCUAGCUAAGGACAAUAAACUAAGCGCUGGUUGGGAGGCAACCCAACAUUUAGUGUAAAAAUGUAGUAUUUUGUUUCUGUUCAAAAAAAAAAAAAAAAAAAAAAAAAAAAAAAGCCCAACAGGUACAGAUAGCAAAAGGAGGGGUGCCAAUAGCAGAAAUCAAGUGGGCUGCACGAAGAGCCGCGCUUAGCGCGAGACCUCGCGCUAAGCGCCCAGGUACGUUUUUAAAUUUCAAAAUACGAGGGAAUGCCAAAGGUCAGAGCGCCUGCGGAGCGCUUAGCGGCUACCUCCCGCUAAGCGCAUACACCAUAAUUGCUGGGCAGUUUUCGAAAACUGCCCAACGCCUCGGUUGCCUCCUUUGUUUUUAAUUCGGAUUUUUACCCAGCAUUUCUUCUCUUCCCUUCUUCCCUCUGCCUUUCUUCCUUUCCUCUCUGCAUUCUCUCUUUCUCUACUUGCCGAUAUCUGUCCCUGUGCUAUUUCACGCGGAUUUCAUAGGUAAGACAUGGUUUUGUACAUAGGUUAACCUAAUCUGCAGGUAUCAUCACGCUAAGCCUUGCGCAUAGGCUUAGCGGGAGCAAACCAAGUGAAGAACAACACGAGGAGCGCGCUAAGCCGCUGCAAGUCACAGGAGCUACCACGAAGCGCUCGCUUAGCCGCACUGUCGCGCUAAGCGCGCUCAACUGUAUCAGUGAACGCGCUAAGCGAGUGCGAGCGGCGCUAAGCGCGUGCCAGCAGCAGCGCGCAGGGUGGCGCCAAGCGCGAGGCUGGGCCUUAGGGCCACCAGUCCUCGUGCUUGCUUUCUGCACCCCCAUUCUUUUUCCCUUCACCCCCUUCUUCUCUACUUUCUGCACCCCCUUCUUUACUAUUUCCACCCCUCAUUUGUUUACUUUUUGCACCCGCACUAAUUACUAACUGCAAUCUGUUUUGCUGUUUUUGUGGUUUUUGUUUUUUUUUCAGAUGGCUUCUCGCAAGCGCCGUGCCGUGCCCACACCAGGGGAAGCGUCCAACUGGGACACUUCCCGCUUCACAUCUGAGAUUGCCUGGCACAGGUACCAAGACAACAUUCAGCUCCGGAACAUCCUUCCGGAGAGGAAUGUUGAAUUGGGACCCGGUAUGUUUGACGAGUUCCUCCAGGAACUCAGGAGGCGCAGAUGGGACCAGGUGCUGACUCACCUUCCGGAGAAGCGGAUUGACGUGGCUCUGGUGAAAGAGUUCUAUUCGAACCUUUAUGAUCCAGAGGACCACAGUCCACGAUUCUGCAGGGUGCGAGGACAGGUCGUUCGUUUUGAUGCUGACACCAUUAACGACUUCCUCGACGCCCCGGUUAUUUUGGAGGACGGGGAAGAGUAUACAGCAUACACCAAAUACCUCAGCACUCACCCCGAUCCUGACACCAUCGCGGCCACACUGUGUACUCCAGGGGGGCGCUUUGUCCUUAAUGCUGAUGGUCUCCCCUGGAAGCUCCUGAGGAAGGACAUGACGACACUUGCUCAGACAUGGAGUGUCCUUUCUUACUACGAUCUUGCGCCCACUUCUCACACUUCUGAUGUUAAUCUUGACAGGGCCCGCUUGAUCUACGGUUUGGUGAGCCGCAUGGACAUGGAUGUGGGCAGCUUUAUAUCACAGCAGAUCAGCCAGAUUGCCCAGUCCAGUACCUCGAGGCUCGGGUUCCCGGCGUUGAUUACAGCGCUGUGUGACAUUCAGGGGGUGGUUUCUGACACCCUGAUCUUUGAGUCACUCAGCCCUGCGAUCAACCUAGCCUAUGUGAAGAAGAACUGCUGGAACCCCGCCGACCCAUCGAUCACUUUCCCUGGGCCUCGCCGCACACGCACCAGAGCUUCAGCAUCAGCUUCCGAGGCCCCUCUUCCUACCCAGUCUCCGUCUCAGCCAUCCCAGCGACCGCGACAUCCACCUGCUUCCACCUCAGCAUCCAUGGACAUGCAUGGGCAGAUGCUGAGGUCCCUUCACGUUGGACAGCAGCUCAUCAUGGAGAAUAUGCAUAGGCUGUCCCUACACCUGCAGAUGGAUCCCCCGCUCACCACUCCAGAGGCCUAUCGUCAGCGAGUCGCCUGGCCAGGAGACCAGCCCUCCACUGACAGGGGGGAAGAGCCUUCUGGAGCCGCUGAGGAUCCUGCAGUCGAUGAGGACCUCAUUGCUGACUUAGCCACCGCUGACUGGGGCCCAUGGGCGGACUUGGGCGGAGGCAGUUGAUUUUUCUUGAUGUUUUCCUUUUAUUUUCUGAUGUUUCUUUUAUGUUUUGUUUUCUUUUGUGUUUGGUGGUCUGUUUAGGUAUUAAAAAGAAGUAGUAGUAAUAAUAUGAGAGAUUUAGCAUUUGUUUUCUGAAUAAUAAUUGCAUGAUAACUUGAGCAGUCAUAAUUUUUGAGCUUGUUCUGAAAGGUUGAAACACUUGAGAUGCCACUAGUCCUUGGAAACAUUGGUUCUGGAAGCACGAGUCAGGUCAGGAAGUGGAACAUGAAUAACACAAGGUGGGAAGGAUAGUCUGAUGGAACAAGGUCAUAACUGGUAUGCCGUAUAUUUGCUUUACUUCCGGUGAGAGUGUGAACUUAAUUGUGAGAGAAAACGCCUGUUUUUAAGUUCCUGGUUUUGCAUCACUCUUGGAUUGUUAGAAUAGUUACUUAAGGUGGAAAUGAUCAAGGCUAUGUUUGUUAUAUCUAGCUACUUAGCCAAAAAGCCAACCCGACAUCAUUUUUUCCCUUGCACCCAUGAUUGAGCCUAUAUAUCAUAUUAUUUUAUUCUGAAUUAACCCUUAAGCCAAUAAAAAAGAUAAGUCCUACCCUUUAGGAUGAUAAGAGAGCAAAAAUGGGUUAUUAAGGUCUUAAUUUGGGGGAUUUUGGAAAAUGGGUAGCUAAGACAAUGGUACAGCAUGUAGUAAGACACCUCUUAUAAACUAGAAGCCCGAAAAAAAAAAAAAAAAAAAUCAUGAGUAAAAUAAAGGGCAGAAACAAAGAGCAGAGAGGUGUCAAGAGAAAAGUGUUGGGGGGAAUAAAAGGGUUAAGAAGAAUGCAUCGGAAGUAUUAGAAAUUUUUGCUCUCUUAAUCCUAAUUUGAAUUUUCAAGAAAAACCAUGAUUUUUGUGAGCCAAGCCCAAUACAAGCCAAUAAAGUCCUUAGUGAUCCACCUGAAGGUAACUAAAGAUAACUAUACUUGAGAGGAAAUGCAAAACUUUGGAAUCUUACUUGCAGGUUGUUAGAAAAUUGCAGACACUAAACCAUACACUUGUGAGCAGAGGAAAACACCAGCCUUGUGAGGAAAGUAAGGCAAGCCAGAUGUGAUCGAGAUUCCAAAGGACUGACUAACCACUUGUGUGUUUUAUGCUUUCAUUUUGAGAUGUUGACAGAUGCGGAAAGGACCACUGGAAGAAGGAGGAACUAAGGCCAUUGACAGUGUUGAAACACUCAGAACUUGUUUGAAAAUUUAUUUUUUGGUUUGCUUGGGGACAAGCAAAGUUUAAUUUGGGGGAUUUUGAUAACUGCUAAAUAAUUGUGAAUUUAUAGGAGUUAAAUAGUCAAAUUUUGGCUUAAAAUUAAUUAUUUAGCAGUUAUUUGUAAUUAAAAGUGAGAAAAUUAAUUUAAAUUGAAUUUCUGGCUGCAGAUACGAAAAAUAAGGUUGCAUUUAGCAAAAGUGGCACAGAAAGGAAAAAAAAAAGAAAAACUUCUGAAGCAGGCCCAGUCCAAUAGGGGCGCUCAGCGCGCAUCAGGCGCUAAGCGAGCAACUAACUGGAGGCGCUGGGCGUGGCGGAAACCGUUACGCGCGCUAAGCCAGCCAGGCGCCCAGCGCCCGAUCCAACAGACGUACAGGCGCCCAGCGCCCGAUCCAACAGAAGCACCGGCCCAGCGUGCAUGGCGCGCCCAGCGCGCGAUCUGAACGCGCUAAGCGCGAGGUGUGGCGCUGAGCGCAACUACGAAGGCCCGUAAGCCCACUUCAGCCACUAUAAAUAGAGAGGCAGUCCCAAGGAAAUUUCAUCCCAUCUCAGAGCAUCACUCUCAGUACCUCAAGCCUGAGUUUUCUUCCCCCUCUAUAUUCUUUGUUUUGUUUUGUUAGCCUAGCCUUUCUUUCAUCCCCAGUUGUAAGCCCUCAAUGGCCAUGAGUGGCUAAACCCCUAGCUAGGGCCUGGCAGGCCUAAAAAGCCAACGAUGUACACUGGGCUUCAAGAGUUAUCAAUGCAAAAGAAUUUAUUCCAGGUUUUUCUGUUCUAUUUCUUUUCUUUUAUUCUUGCAUUCAUUCUUAAAUCUCUUUUUGGGUUUUAAUCGCUCGGGAGAGGGUAAUUCUCAAUAAUAUUUAAGAUUCAAUGCAUGCAUCAGUUUUAGGGGUUAAUCGCUUGGGAAAGGGUAACACCUAAUAGAACAUCUAAAGAAAAGAAUCAUUGGGUUAGCAUUGCUAGGCAUAGAAUGAUAACUCACUGCCCAUGCAUUUAAGCAACAUCUAGAACUUAAUCUUAAUGCAUUUUAAUUAUUGAAUCUUCGCAAAGGCAUUUGGGAGAUAGGUAGUUAAAAUAGGCUUGCCAACGUGAGGCAUCAGGGGCAAGCAGUCAACAGAUGUGGGUAGAACUAACACCAUUUCAUUGAUAAUGAAUAUCAUACUUACAUGCAUCGUAGGCCAAUUGGGUUUGUCUGGUCUUGGCAUUUCUAUCAAUUGUUUUCCCUUUACUCAUUUAUUUUAGUAAUAGCACUCUUUACUAUUCCUACUUUCAUUUCUACUUUACUACUUUACUCCCACUUACAAAUUGAGAGGUAUUGAAAAGUGCAAUAAAAUCCCUGUGGACACGAUACUCGGACUUCCGAGCUUUACUACUUGUCACGAUUUGGUGCACUUGCCAAAGUCUUAACAAAAAAACACAACAGAACUAUAUUCUAAAGAUAAAGAAUAUAUUCAACUCUUUAUUUGUUUUUAAUUAUUAUUUUUCUAAUUAUUGCUUUUUUUAAUAUUUUAAAUAAACAAAUUGUUCGGUAGUACUUUAAGAUAUCUUUAAAAGUUUUAGUAAUUAAGACAUAAUUACACUUAAAACUCUUUUCAUUUCUAAAAAAAUGGAUUAAUUGCUAAUAAUUAAUUUUUUGAUAAAUUAUUAUAACUACGGCAUCAUUUAAGGUCUACUACUUUAAUCUAAAUGAUUGAUCAAAUAAUGAAAAAUCUCAUUGCAUUCACAUAUAUGGAAGAUUAUUUAAGGGGAAAAUCCAUGAACAAUCACAAACAAGAUUAAUUUAUGACUUAGUGAAUUGGGUGACACUCUUAAUUUUUUACUCAAAUACAAAAAAAAAACUAUCACCUUGUUAUUAUUAUUGACAAAAAAAGUUUACCAUCUUAAUUUAUAAGAUUGAUUAAGUAACAUAAGGUUUCAUCGUAUUUAUAUGUGUAGAGUAAUCUAUUUAACAAGAGAAUCUACGAGCGAUUGUGGGUAGGAUUAGUAUGUCGUAUAGUGGAUUGGGUAAAAAAAAAUCUACCACCUUAUUAUCAUUAUUAUUAUUUAUAUAUUUAUAAAAAAAGUUUACCUACUUAUAAGAACAUGCAUGUAAUUUAUUUAUUUUUAAUUUUUGGUCUCUCCCCGCCCCCUAAUUUUCCUAAAAUAAACAAAUUGGAACGAGGGCCCAAAAUUUUCCCAGAGCCCAUGUCACCGAACCCAAAGACGACGAACUGAAACUUGAGGAAGAAGAGAAAAACAAGACCCUCUCUUCUUGUGUCUGAUCGAAGAAACCAACCAGUCAGUCAUGAAUUCGUGUUCGUGAUUUGCGCCACGCUACACACACUUACUUCGAUUUGAAUCAUCACUCUCUUCACUCCUCUCUCCAAGUGCUUCCCACAAUGAUGUCCCCGAACCGCGUCUCAGAGGAUCGGGGCACCCCACCACAACAUUUCAGGUAAAAUUUUCUCCUUUUCGAAAAAUUUAGCCAUAAUCGAUCCUGGGUAUGGACCAUUUUUUCAUAUCAUUAAAGUGUUUGAUUUCUGAGGCUAUUUCUUUGUGUUCAAUUGGGACUGUGUCUAGGUGCAUUGACGUGUGCCAAUGCUUUUGCUCUUUCCUUGAAGCUGUGUCUCAAUGUGUUAGUUGUUUUAGGAACUGGGUUGGAGCUAAUGGGUCAUCUUUUUCGAUAGUUAUUGCAAGCAUUGUUUACUUUGAUUCAGUGCUUAUUUGUGUGGAGGGAAAAUUUGAAGUUAACACGAGAGCAAAAUGCAAUGCCCUCAGUGGUUGCAAUUUAAUCUAUAACUUAUUAGGUGUGUGUUUGGUUCAGCUUAUUUAAAGAAAUAAUCAGGUUCUUGUGAUUAGUAGCUUUUUGAGAGAAUAUUUGAGAAGUAUUGAAAUAAGUAAUUACUUUUGAGAAAUAAUCUCUUACCAAAUAUUUACUCCAUACUUGGAGGGAGAUUGCUGCCCAUAGUGGUGCUGCUCGUGAGUAGGAUUGCCUUCCUUGGAAGAUGCAUUGGUGAUCUGUAUAAAAAGAAGUAGUAUUUUAAUUUAAUCCAUUGGCAUGUGUUAAAGAAACAAUAUAAAACUCAUUUUUGUCUUGACCUAAUUGUUUAAGCUUUUGAGAUAGUUAUGAUACGGUAUUGGAGUCUUUAGGAUCAAGUGGUCUAGAGUUUGACCCUUGUUGUCCCUAUUCUUCUAAUAAAAAGUUGAAUUUGCUCUAAGCCGAAGGUGGGUCCAUGGGUAUUAUCCAAGCAUCAAGCGUAAAGGGCUCUUGCGUAAAGGGGCAUCUUAGAGAUUAGAGAUGUAAUACAAAAGCAUUCAUGUGUCUCUACCAUACAACUUAAGCUUUUGUGAUAGUUGAUUUAGGAUAGCGUCUAUGAUAAUUAACUGAUUAUACUGUUUUAUUGAUCAUGUAUUGUGGCAUUUUACUUUUAGUGGUUAUACAUAUACAAAAAAAUUUCUCAGUUACAUUCUACUAUAACGUAUUGGUUAGUGAUUGAUUACCUCUGUUGGAUAUUUAUAGAAGAGGGUUGUGUAUUGAAAGUUUUAACUUUGUUCACUCUUAUUGUGCUGAUUUUAUAUUUCGAUUUGUAGACACACACCCUUUCAGAUAAUCCAUAUUGUUGCAAAUUUCAUGAGGAUAUGGUCAAUAUACUCGAUGUACCGCUACUUCUUGCAGACUGGUGCUUCUGUUGUUCUUUUUCUGUUUGCCUGCCUGGCCCCAGCGUCCAUCCUAUUUUUGAUUUUGCAAAAGCCUUGGAAGGGCAGGCCUCUUUCUAAUACACAGGUGAAUUUAAUUUAUACUCUCUGAAGAGAGUAAUAAGAAAGAAGCAUUAAAUUUGACAUAGAAGUUAUCAUGAAUGCACAUUCCUUAAUAGUACCAUUUUUCUUUUCAGAUUGUUCCUUCUAUAAUAAAUGGUGGCAUAACAGCACUGUAUCUGGUCUUGUGGGGAAAGGGACUGAAAUCAUGUGGGCCAGUUAGGUUGGUUUUUAUAUUCUGAAAGAAAAUUUCAGUUGAUAACUUUAAUGUGUCAAGUGCUCAGUCUUAAUUGCUUUGAGUUAUGUGGCAUCAUGGCUGAUGCUCAGUUGUGUAAAUCACUGAUUUCCAAUUUGUCAUAGUCCAAGUCCAAUUGAAUCAUUGAUGUCAUCCUACCAUUAUAUAGCUAUUUCUUGAUCAUGUUAGUAUCGAGGUGAAUGGUGCUUUGAUAUUAAUGAGAAAGUAUUUUUUAUUGCUAUAUGAACUUAAUGCAAUCAUUGUUUUCUUAUUAAUUUAGAGCAAUAUUGGCUGAGUAUUCUGGUGCUGUUCUUGGAGUACUUUCUGCAGUGUUAUAUGGCAGGAGAGGUCAUUUGUGGAAAAAGGUAACCCUUUUAAGAUACUUAUGUUGUUAGGUAUAUUAUACAAGUUACACCAUGAAACCAUGUGCUCAAAUCGGUUUAAAUACCUAUUCCAUAAGAAUGUUUUUGCAAUAUUUCUCCUUUCUACUUUAUCUGCAUUGAUAAAUCUCUUGUGAAGUUGUAACUUGUGACUAUUUCCUGAAUUAUUUUACCUUUUUCAAUGAAGAUCACAUAUUUUUCUUUCCCCUCUCCUUAAGCCUUUGUCUGGUUGUAGCUGUUUUGGAGGAUCACCUAUCUCCCCUAGUUGUAGUUUCCUUCUUUCUCUAAAUUGAAAACAUUUUUUUUUGUAUAAAAAACUAUAUAAAUUGUUAAGUCUUCUUUGAUAAAAUAAUAAUAAAAAAUUAAGCCAUAGUUUUCAAUCUUGGAUAGCAGUGCAUAGUGGCCAACUUUGUAAAUACUAUAGCGGUUUUUUCAAAAACAAAAAAAGAAAACCCAAAAAUUAAGAAAUUAUUGAUACUAUCUUUGGGUCUAUAAGAAACACAUUGUGUUUUAAUUGUUUUUCUUUGGCCCUAAUUAUAAAGAAACAAUGACUAGUUUUCAAACUUACUCAGGGUUAAAUUUCUUUUAUACCUUAAUUUAUUGUUAACUCUAUUUCCUAGGCACUCAUUCAUUGGAUUAUGAGUACUGACAUUAAAUUUGACCAUCACUUACAACAUUUGAACUUAAGGGCAUUUUUUGGAAUAUACUUGAAUUCAUGGUAGUAUUAAAUGUGACCAUCACUUUCCUUGGUCUUGAUAUUUGUUCUAUGUUUCUUAUAUAUAUGACUGGAGGUAUUAUAUAUAAGUCACUUUUUACACUCAAUCACCAUCAAUCUAGGAGCAAUAAGAAAAUAGUAAUGAAGUAAAAAAUGAUAGAUGAUGGUGAAAUUAAUAGAAAAAGAACAUAAACAAAUUAGAUAAAAACUAUUAGAAUGUGAACAAGUAAGUUUAAAUGAAGAAGAAAGUACGGAACAUGAGGGAAAAAAUGGUCCUGUAAAGUGUGAAGGAACAAAGGUCAAAACAGAGUUAACUUUUUGAGGGUUGUUCUAGGAAGAAGGGUUUCAAAUCCUAUUAAUGUUUCUUGAGCAAAAAAAGCAUUAGAUAAUGUGGAAGAAGGGUUGGUCUAGGAACAAAGGUCAAAACAGAGUUAACUUUUUGAGGGUUGGUCUAGGAAGAAGGGUUUCAAAUCCUAUUUAUGUUUCUUGAGCAAAAGAAGCAUUAGAUAAUGUGGAAGAAAUCACUAUUUUAUUCAGGAGUAAAAAAGGGUUUUUGAAGCCUAUACCAUGGUAGCGCCGCUAUAGCAUGUGAAUUGCUGCUGUUACGGUUGCAAUGACUGGUAUUGAAAAUCGCUCCACUAUUUGAAUCCCAUACUAGCCCAGGGUUGCUAUGCUCUGCUACUGCACUAUAGCUCACUGACUACUAUGAUUUAAGCCAGGUUGUACUAUGAUAAAUUAAAUAAUGUGAUUUCAAUUGCUGCUUGUGAUUAAUGUGUUUGAAACAUAAGUUUGGAUCUUCUCUGAUCCAGUGGAUACUUUCUUAUUUUGAACCAGAUAGGCGGCCUUAUUGCCAUGUUGGCAUCCUUAUACCUGUUAUCAGAAGGAUGGGCUACAGCAACAUAUUCUCCAUUCUAUAUCCUCAGUCAGACUGUGUUAUUUUGUUUCUUAAAUUUACUAAGUUUACUGCUAAAAUAUCUUUUGCUCCAUGUGUUCUUUUUCUUUUCAGUCUAGUUUUUCAUACUUUUUAUUUUUUCCACAAGCGUUGUAAACUUAACUGGAAUAUACCAUGGGAAGAUAGAGAUGAUUCUGAGGCUAAAACUGAACCAGUUUUGGGCCUGAGGCAUAUGUUAGUCCCUAUUAUUGCUGGUAUUCUAUCUGCGCUCAGGAGAGUGAUUGCAAGGCGUGUUUCAAUCAAGGUGGAAACAUUUAUGUAAUUUGAACUUUAUACUUUGACUUUGGUGCAAGGUGUUUUGUGUGUAUCCAUAACCCCUGGACAUUUUGUUUUCAGAAUCAACUUAAAAGGCGACUCCAUGCUUUAACUAUUGCUUCUGCAACAUGUUUUAUGUUUCCUAUUGCCAUGUGGGACAUGAUCAUAGUGAGUUCUAUGUCAUUGUCACUUUUACAUUUAUGUGGAAUUCUUAUAUUGUUCUGUGGUUUUUGCAUGAUUGACAUUUGACAAUUUUUGUAACCCUCUUGUCCCCUCUCUUCUCAUGUCCUUCAGGGAUCAUCAUCUGAAUCUGAUAGUAACGCAAAGCUUCCAUUUUCUGCUUGGGCCUUCUUGAGCACUAUUCUGUUUGGAAAUAUUGUGAUAUUCUAUGCUGACAGUAUUGCAGAGGAGAGGUAUGCCAUGAAUGAUGAUAAUCUUACCAUAAGUAAAGGCUAAGUGAGUAAUGGGAAGGCAUUUAUUCAUUUUGAAAUUAGGUUUCUUAUGCUCUUUAGAUUAUCAGACAAGGUUCUAUAAAAUAACUAUUAACAAAUGGCAUAACCAUUUGCAGUAAUAUUCUCCCCAUUCUCAUUGAAACAAUUAUUCAAUUUUCAGUUUGAUGAAAUUAUAAUUCCUCGUCUAGAAAUAAAUUAAUUGACUUAUAUCUGACUUCAUCUUGUAUAUGAAAAAAGUUGGAUAAAAAUUAGGUCAAAUUUAAAUCCAAGAUUGAUUUGGUAAGAUCUGAAUUGUAUUUGAAUUUUUAAGUUCCGUAUGGUGUAAGAUAAUAUAAUAUAGUGCAUGACAUUUUGAACUCUUUGUUGUUGUGAAGUAGCUGAAAAUUCAUACUUUUCUUUUUGUAGAUUGCACAUGGUUUUCUCCUCACCAAGGCAUUUAGCAGCAGCUGGUGCGUGCAUCAUCAUAAUGGAGAAAGUUUAUAAGAUGGAUUUUUCUCUCACAGGAUUCACGAUUUGCUGCUUAAUAUUAGGUUUUGGUAUGUUUAGCAGUUAGUUUUGAAUAUUAUUAUUCUCUUUAAAUUAUAUUUUUCAUGGAUUGUUUCUAGAACACUAUAACUGAACGAGUAGCUGAUAAUUUUUUGUCAUGCCUUACAAAGUUUAAGGGUGUGUUUGAUUUCUAUUUUCAAAAACUGUUUUCAGUUUUUGAAAAACAAAGAAAAUAGAUGCCCACACCCAGCUCAUGCCUUAUGACAUGCAACACCACUCCCAGUGACCUACACUCUUGAGGUAGGACUAAAAACAGAAAAAGAGAAUGAGAAAGACCAACUUUUGGAAACAAUUUUCAAAACUUAAUAGAUUUUGGACAAGAAAUCGAUUGCCACUAGCAUGAAAAUAUUUUAGAAAACAGUUUUUGAAACCAAAAAGUGAGAAGGAAAUCAAACAGACCCUAACUUGUUUUUAUGAUACUUGGCUUCUCAGAUUCUAUAUACAUUGGUUAUAUAUCCUCUGGAUUUUUUAAAUGACAUUCAUAUUCCAGAAAAAGGGUAAAUCUUUUUUAAACUCAGCUUAUCUUGAAGCAGUUCAUGUUGAAUUCUUGAACUUCACUGUUUUUUUAUUGCCUUUUCUUACUAGUAAUAAUUUGAUUUUUAAGGACUUUCCAAAAUUAUCGCUAUUCACUACCAGUCAACUACAUUUUCCUGUCUUCUAGAAUUGAGUUUGUAUUUCUGAGAGAGCAAAUAUACUGAUUACUGAAUUAAGGCAUUCUUGUUUCUGUUUUUCUCUUUUCGUGGUUAAUAAUCUUAAAUUCUCAUUGUAAUGGAAUAAUGUAGGGAUAUAUGAAGCAACUUCAUUGGAGCGCAAUAGAAAAGAUUCUAUCCGAAAUUCAGAUUUAUCCAAUGGAGAAUUUGAUAAUCAAAUCCAGAUGUCACCACUACCUACUUGAAGUAUGUGUAUUUUAUUCCUUCAAAUUAUGAAAUGUAAAUUUAUUGCCAAUUGUUUAUUUGGUUCAUUUGUGUGAGUGGGUAUCUAUGCAUUCUGCUCUGUUCAAUUGACACCUACCAGCAAUUUUCCAGAUGAGUAUUGAGUAUCAAUAUUAUACUACUGAUUCUAAUAUAUGGUGAGCCUGAUUACCAGUUUUUGCAAUGUCUUUUUGAUAUUUUGAAAGCAAUAGUCCUUAAACAUCUAAAAUUAUAUAGGGAUAUAAGUACAGAGAAAUGUUUUGAAUUGAAAGACAGCAAGAAAUAUGCAUGAUAGAGACUGGAAUAGAAGAUUAGAAACAGAUUUUUCUUGAGUAAUCCCCUAAUUCCCAAUCUCUGCUCCAAUGUAGAACAGUAUCAAGAAUAUAGUACUGUGUACAGAAACAAUAUGAUUUCCCUGGAAAUUUAAGAGGUUCAGGCCUCUCCUACAUUUGGUGCCCAAUACUCGUACACCUUUCUUACUUAAUUAUAGGCAAUCUGCCUUUAUUAUUCUAUCUCGGCCCAAGAAACUAACAAAUAUCAACUACUAAUUAACUAACUAAAUUCUAAUAGAUAUUGACAAUUAUUGGCUAUCUAACUAUGAACCGUUUUGGAAAGAUUGUAGUUGUUCAUAGAUGCCAUGAUGCACAUAGGUGGGAAAUGUAGAAGGUUUAUUGUGGGAGAGGGAGAGUAUAGGUGUGCUUUCCUCAAGGAAGGUUGCACAUGGAGCUGAGUGCAUGCUUUUAUUUAUACAGAAGAGAUUGCUCACCUUUUUGUGAGUGCUAGGUGUGCCCUAAAGCUUUUGGUGGUUUUGGUCCAGGAGGGUAAACUUUAGUGGCAAUGUGCAAUCCAUGCUGUUAUGUGGUGCAUUUUGUCUCAGGGUGUAUCACUUGUGCUUGUUGAUUUGGAAUAAAGAUUAAGUAUUAGCUUCUAUUGUCUUUUUUAAGAGGUUUGUCUAAAUGAAAUACGGUGGGAUUGGGCACCUUUGUUUGGUGUUUUUACUUUUUCUUUGUUUUACUUUCGCCUUUUAUUUGAGAAGGAUGGAGGAUCCUCUAUUCUCUAAUUUCUUCUCUCCAUGUUUAUGAAUUUCUUCUUUUAUCAAGAAAAAUAUAAUUACAUUUACAGCUAAAAAAACCCUGAUUCUUUUCAACUAGUUGAAGAACUUUGUUAUAUUCAACUUAUUGAUUUCAACUGAUGUCCAUACAUAUCAUCCGUUGCAAUUUCACAGGAGAUUACUUUCUUCCAUGGCUAGUCAAUUUUCAGUGUCAGUAGUAUUAGUUGAUGUGAAGAUAGUCUGAAAGAUUUAGGGUCUGUCUGAUAUGUUAAAAAAUGAGGGACAGGAUAAAGUUCCACAUUUGAUUUUAAAAAUGGUUGUAGGACAGAACAAAAAAGGUUGUAAAGGACAGAACAAAACAUAAAAUUUUGUUACUCACUAAUGUGAGAGAUAACUUUUUGUCCCCAUGAUUCAAUUAAAAGGACAAAAUUAUCCUUCUCAUUAUCCCAUGUCUCCCCCUCCUCUUUUUCUUUUCCUCAACUUCUCUGGUUCAUUCUUCAUGUUACAGGGAUAGUUUCAUGUUAAUUAAUGGUUAUCAAAUCCAGAAUUGCAAUUGCACUCAUUUAUUUGAAAGCCAUAUUAGUAUACAAGUGUCGUAGCACUCAGAGACCUUAAUUUGGCUUCAAUUGGGUUUUAGGCAAGGAACAAAACAGGAAUGAUAAUGUUGAUGAAUAGGCCAAUGAAAUCAAUGGUGUGUGAAAGAGGUUAAGGUCAAAUGGUGUGCACGAGGUUGGUGGUAGCGGGCAGUGUGAUGGUUGUUGUGACAGGUUUGAUGUGUCAGUAUACUGUAUAGAUUAUUGUGGACGAUGUUGUUUUCUGAUGCCAUUUUCAAUAUCUUGGAAUUGAGUGAGAUGAAUGAAGGGUAUUUAAAUAAAUUUCAAAUAAUUUUAUUUAGGUUGCCCGGUGCUCAUCAAACCAAGACAGGAUAUAAAGUUGUCCAGUAACUUGAUUAUUUUACUGUCCUGUUCUCCUUGUCCAGAACAAUUAGAACAGAACAGUACAAAUAAUGUAAAAGGACUCAAAAACAACUACAUAUUAUAUGGACCAAAAAGUUAUUUUAGCCUAAAUUUCAAUUUGACUGAUUGCUAUGCACUUUUUCCUUGAGAAUGAAGAGGUGAUGUGAAUAAUCUUAAUAACAUUGCUUGUGUUUAUCUGAAGGAAUAUUAAGUUAGUUGUGUUCAGUGUUGGUACACAAAGAUAUGUUGGACUCUGUUGACCCAUAAUUUCAUUUUGUGCAUUAGUUGCAGACAAGCUGUUUUCCGCUGUGAAGAUGUGUUAUCCGCCACUUUUGGGAAGCUCCAGCAUCUAGUUUUCUAUACACCUAAUUCUUGAUGAUUGAUCUGAUCUGAUAUGAUCCUUGGGGGCCUGAGAAGCACUUUUAACCUACCGAGUUCAUUAUUUUGCUUCCUACAAGAUCAUUACUAGUCUGGUAGUUUAUUGUGUAGUUUAGGAGUGAUUUUCUAUCAUGAAGAAAAAGAAGCAUUAUUCGUCGUCAUGGUAGAAGUUCUUUGAAUCUUGUUAUAAUUGAAUCACCCAUAUGAGCUAACUGCACAUUAUAAUGAAAUUAUUGAAUAUGCCAAACUGUUGGUUAUUCCUUGUAUGUUAUUUUCCCCCCCUUCCCAUUUCUCUUAUUUAUUUUUUUAUUUUUUUUGUCCUUUUUUGUUUCCGUUAUUCUUUUUUGUUUCAAUUAUUUCCUUAAAAGUAUAUUUAAUGAUCUGGAUUUAUAAUAAUAUUUGUAAGAUGGACGAGGCUUGAAGUAUUAUAGUUUUUCUAUUUUAUUUCCCCCUUUCCUUUUAUUUUAUUUUGUGUGUGUAUUUUUUGGAAUGCUUGCUUGGGAGGAAAAAAAAAAUAAAGAGUGAAUUUUUUUUUACAAGUAUUUUUUCUUUGUUUAGUGAAAGGAAAAAAGGAGAGAAAACCUAACUUCUAGAAAUAUCAUUUCUUUUAAUCCUUACGGGGGAUUACAUUUUGCAAUGUUAUGUACUACAUACAUGUACGUUUUAAUUGUUGAACCAAAUGAAACCUUUAAUGUGAUUCCACGAGAGCAACACAUUUAUUUUAAUUUAGUGCGUUUUCUGUUUUUCUUGCAUUUCCAACACGGUAAUAUAUUUUUUUUUUAUCAUUUCAAACUACCAAAAAAGACAUAAAUGUGAAAGACACAAUGACAUUUUAAAAAAGUUUUACUAUUUAUAGGUUUAAUUGCAGUAAAUAAAAAAUUAUUUAUAGGUUUAAUUAUUCAAUUUGUCUCUAUAAUUAUAUAAAAUUCAUCUUUUAGUCCUUAUACUUCAAAAUAAUUUAUUUUAGUUUAUAUAUAUAUAUAUAUAUAUAUUUUUUUUUAAAUCCAUUUUAGUUCUUAUACAUACCAUUUUUAAUAUUGUCAUUUAGUUUUUAUUGUCUAAAUUUAUAAGGAUUAAAAAAAAUUAAAAAUGAUGGUAUAUAUUAGGACUAAAAUGAAUUUUUUUAAGUAUAUAAACUAAAAAAUAAAAUUUGUGCAACUAUAAUGUUGUUCUGAAAAAAGCGGAAUUUAGCUAACUUUAUUGAUGAAUACACACCUCUAAUAGCAAGUAUUUUCUUGCAAAAAUAAGUCCAACCGUCUUAGGGUCCAAGAAAGAUACAACAUAGAACGCCAAACACUACAUAUUGAACCACAAUUAUUUAUUAUAUUUUUAGUAUUAUAUAUAUAUAUAUAUAUAUAUAUAUAUAUAUAUAUAUAUAUAUAUAUAUAUAUAUAUAUAUAUAUUUGUGAAAAAGGUAUUGUAAUAUUGUGAAUAUCUAUAAUAUUGAAGAUGUUUUAGUCCAUAUCUUCAAUUUUGUAUAUGUUUUAUUAUUUCUUUUUUCUUGUUACAAUUGAAUCCUUAUUUUAACAUAUACAUUAAAGAUACUAUUAAGAAAUUGAUUAAAUUAAUUAAAAUAUAAGAAGAAAAAAAAUAAAUGAAGGCAAAUUUGAGAGUUAGACAAAAAACUGUGAUUUUUUUAUAUCAAAAAAUAGGUUUCUAUUUUAAAAUGGGUUAUUCAAAUUGUCAAUUGAGUAUAACCGUGUAUUUAUAGAGACAAAAUUUAGAUUUUAGCCUAAUAAAAAAACUCUAUUAAAUAUCAUCACAUAUUAUCUAGACAAUUUUAAAUCAAAUUAGAGAACACACCAACGUACCUAUAGCAUUGCAUCUAUAUUUUACAUAUAUUCAUGUAAGCAUAAUUGAGAGAAUUAAUUUUAAUAAUUUAUAAGAUUAAAUAUGAUUUUUUCCUCCAAAUAUUGUCUCGCGUAUAUCGGUUUUAAUCCUCCAAAAAUAAUUUUAUUGCAUUUGUGUCCCUAAAAUUUUCAAAAUUCUCUUAUUAAGUUCUUUAUUUAAUUCCAUUAAUUUUCUUUUCCAAUAUAAGUUACCUCAACCCCAUUGUAGACAAUGUCUGAAAUUCAAUUUGUUACAGUCAAUGCGUCAAUGCACCUGUUGCUGUUUCUUUCCAAAGUUAAGUUCCACCAACAUCAUUGUAUGUACUUCUUGUUUGAAAUAAUAGAGUUGUAAUUUUUUCUUUCUUUCUUUCUAUUCUUGCAGUGUAAAGAAUGCUAAUGCUAGUAAUGUAAAGGUGGGGCUAUGAUGGGAGACCACACUAGGAAACCAAUUUUUCACCAUUAGACACGGUAGCUUUCAAAUAAACGCCCAAGAUAUUUUCUUCAUUUUUACUUUAUUUCUUUUUCAUAUUUCCUCUCUCUUUUUCAAAUUGUAUCAAUCCUAGGAAUUUUUUUUAGGAAAGUCUCACCUGAUCUCCAAACUCUUGAAAUCACAUCAUAACUAACAUCAUGUUUCAUUCCAUCAAUCUGGAUCCGCGAGUUUAUUUAUGUUUUUUUUAUUUCCUUCUUAUUGUUAAUUUUCCAUUUUUCAUUCUAGUGUUCUAACUUUGGAUUUAAUUUUUUUGUUAUCCAUGCUACUCCAAAAUCCUCACGCGUCCUUGUUGAAAAGUGUUAGUAUUGUUCUGCUGGUUCACUAGGGGUUUUUAAAGAGCAACAUUGAGUAAGCCAACUAAGAUGGCAAUGGCCCAACUUCCUCGGGACCUCAUAGUGGAAAUUUUGUCAUGGCUUCCCGUCAAAUCUUUCAUGCCUUUCUGAUGUGUUUCUAGGACUUGGAAUUCCCUCAUCUCCCAGGAAAAGUUUGUUAAAUUGAACCUUUAAAGCUCAUCCAAAAAACACCCACAUCCUAUUAAGGUGUCAACUUAAUACUGAGUAUGAAGAUAUGAGGGAUCUCUCGAGCGUUGCACCAUGCUCUAUAUGUGGUUCACUUGAGAACCCAACAUCCACUGCUGACAAUGGUUGCCACCAGUUAGACAACAGAUGCUUAUUUAUAGGUUCCUGCAAUGGGUUGGUUUGCUUGAUUAAUUUGAUUGCUAGAGAUGAAUUUAGUGAAUAUCGGGUUCGAUAUUUUGGAACCUGACCACAAGGAUCAUGGCUGAAGAUUCGCCACACUUAAGUCUUCGUUCAUGCAAUUAUAAACUUUGGUGGCAUCAAGUGAAGUGUGGGUUUGGUUAUGAUGAUUGGGGUGACACUUACAAGGUGGUGGUAGUCCUUUUGAAUAUUAAGUCACAAAAUUGGGAGGUGAGACUUACUGCUUAGGUGACACUCAUUUGAGAAAGGUUUUUAACUUGCCCGACUAUUCCCAUUUUGGGAGAACGGUGUGAAAAGUUUGCAAUGUAGGAAAAAAGGUGUUAAAAAACACACAUUGCGGAAUAAAAGAAUCUAUUUUGUAUUUAAAGUAUAUUAUAAACAAAUGACAUAUUAAAAAAUGUACCUGUUGAUGAGCUCUUGAAACAUAAAAAUUCUUAUAGAAGACUUUACGUAUAUCCACACCGAGACUGACCUCUAUUAGUCAACAACUUUGACAAGUAGAAAAAUAAGAAUGGAGAAGUGAUAUUGGGACAGUUUCAAUGUACAACCUACGUCUCAUUAGAUACCGGAUCAAACUUAGUAUUAGUUGCGUGUAAUGCAUUCUACAUCCCUACAAACUUGGGAAAUUGAUUCGUGUAAUUAAUGGCUAAAAUUUAUUAGAAAACACAAAUUUUUAAGAUCUAUUGUAUUCCUUAUUUUAGUUAGCUCUUUCUUAAUUUUGUAUUUUUUUAAUUGAAAUUAAACCCAUAAUAGAUUAGGUAUUAGAAGAAUUGUGUUAGAAACUACAUUGUUAUCACUCUUUUUAUAGUUAAUUACCAAGAUUUCCUCUUAAGUGCUUAUUCUAAUGUUAGAACUUUGAUCCUUCAUUUUUGGAGUUGGCUUGAUUAGCCUUAAGUCUAACCUUUGUUGGUAAAAAAAAUAUAAGUUAAUUAAAAAUUUUAAUAUGAUAUAGUAAAAUAAUCUAAACUGAGGACGAGCCCUGGUGUAGCGGUAAAGUUGUGCCUUGGUGACUUGUUGGUCAUGGGUUAGAAUCCAGAAACAGCCUCUUUGCAUAUGCAAGGGUAAGGUUGCGUACAAUAUCCCUCCCCCAUACCUUCGCAUAGCGAAGAGCCUCUGAGCAAUGGGGUACGAAGUUUUUUUAUAGUAAAAUAAUCUAAACUCACAUGAAUUGAUUGAUAGUUGGCUAGUCACAAACCAAGGGGAUAUAUAAUACCAAAAAGGAACAAGCCAUAUCAUGCAGUCACAUCUGCACCAUGCCAAACAAACAAGUUUCCUAGCUAAAUCUUAAUCAACAACCUUCCCCAAAAGAGGCAUAGGAGCCAUUGAUUUUGUGUUCCCAGUAUAUUUCCUUUUCUUUUCAUUGUUAUGUAAAGAUAUGAACAUUAUAUGUUAUGUUAUUUACAUAGCUUAUCCAAAAAAGUAUGUUAUUUACAUAGAACAAGGUUAUGGUCUAGUAACUCACUAAGUUGCAAACAAAAGACAACUUCAAAAUUCGAUACUCUACUUUUAUGGAAACAAUAGCAGCUUUCUAUUUUCCAUUGCUGAAAACAAGCUGAAUGAAUAUUCAUCUUUUGGAUUAAGAGAUGGCAAAAUUAAUUAAUCGGUAUUAAGAGGAAGAUUGAUUGUGUUUCAAGCUGUGCUCAUCCAGCCAAGAUAUGAUGUCACCAAAAACUUGAGUUAUUAUUUCAUCAGGCUCACCCUCAAGAAGACCAUGGUAGGCAUCCUUGUAAAGCUGAAGCUUCUUGUCUGAACAGCUUGCAUUCUCAUACAAGGCUUUGCUCACUGAUGGAUCUGUCACAGUGUCAGCCUCCCCGUGAAGGAUGAAUAAUGGUAGAGAAACCUGCAAUCACAACCAUUACAUGUGAAGAUGAAUAGUUUUUAUUUGACUGAUCCAAAAGAUGUAAAAUUUCAUAUUUAAACAGUAGUUCUAGAAAAGAACAAUCAAUCAAACCCAAAAGCAUGAGAAAUUAUUACAUGAUCCAGAACCACUAUGAUUCGACCAAUCUUCACAUGACAUGUAACCAAGUGUUACUUGUAAAUUGAAAAUUUUGAUUAUAUGUCACAAGAAAACUGGUUGAGACCAUGAACACGUAGUGGUUCUGAUCCAUGUAUUAAUUUCUCCUAAAGCAAUUUUUCUACUAUGACCAUCUUUAAAAACUCCAAGAUAUACUACCAUGCAGAAAAUGAAACCAUUUUUAGGGUUGUUAGCUAUAGGGUAUGGACAAGGUAAAGAAACUUAGUAAGUUUUUCAAAUUUGAGGAUAGUAGCAUCUGCCACAGUAAUACAAAGAUACAUGUAAAGGACUAAAAGUAGCUCAUUUAGUGAGAUAAAUUAUUCAAAGUCGAUUGAUCUGUUGUAAGAAGCAUGCAAAUAUAUUAAUUUCCUUCUUAACUAUGAAUUUAGACCAAUUUAAGCAUAUUAUAAUUAAGAGAGGAAGAACAAUAGAAAUGCCCUAUAUAAGCAGUAGAGUCGUGUCUUAGGAAGCCAGAGCAAAAAAGUAGUCUUAAAAAGGAUCACUGUUCACUAUUUCUACAGAAACUUCAAGACAUGACUUAUUUAAUGAUUCUUAAACACUUGAAAUUUUAAAGGGUCUUAUCUAGACACCUUUUUAGGGUUUUGUAGCUCUUGUUUUAGAAUUUAUAUAUAUGCACUAGUUUCAACUACUGAACUAGUUUUAGAUGAAAUACAUGCUACCAUCUUUGCUACCAUAAACUUAUGAUCUUUUUAAACCUAUAACUUUUACCAAAAUUUUCACCAACUCCAACACCUAGAGUAGAUAACCCAGAAGAUCAGAACAUACUUCUUUCAGUCGCCGUUCUAUUUCUUCAGUAGUUUUAAGCAUUUCUACAGCACUCUGCAAACGUGGUUUAUCCUUGUAAGCAAUAACAUUGUAAGCAGUCUGCAAAAAGAUUAAAAAAGAGUCAAUCUCUUACUUACAACACACAUAUUACCAAAAGAAAUGCAUGGAAAGAAUUGGCAAAAAAUGGAGUCACACACAAGGAAGGAUGGAUCUUUGGAUUUCUAUUAGCAGACCAAAAGUAACAUUCUGUAGAACAACAUUACAAAAUACAAACCAGUUCCCUCUUCUUCAAAUCUCUGAAUGCUGCCUCUGCUAAAUCCUUGUUUGGAACUAACUUAUGCUUCGGUAAAACAUUGGCUAAACCAAUCAGGAUAUGAGUGAGGAAUUUUGGAGGAACCAUGUCAUCUGCAAUCUACACAGAUUUUCAGGUCAAAGGGAGAUCAAAGCAAAGACCACCAGAACUCAAAACAUAAUUGUGUUUCAAGAAUAAUACUUUACACAUAGGCGCAACAAGAAUUGCACCAUCCCAUGCCUUAGGCUGUUUCAGGUGUAUCUUUAAUGCAACAGCUCCACCCAUGGACUGUCCAAAUAGGAAGCUGGGAAGAGAAUGGAACUCUGGAUUUUCUGCCAUAUAAACCAAAUCUUUUGAAUGAAUACAACAGUUUCAAUAUGUAAGUAAUUAGAGGAUGUGAGGGAUAGAUCAUAGGCUAAUGCCAAGUAGUUUCAAGAGAUGCAAUAACAGAAAGAAUCAAAUUGAUUGAAUAAAAGAUGAUGAUGAUGAUGAUUGAGAUACAAUGGUGUUCUAUUUAUGGAAAACUGAUCAACCAUAUACUCUCCUAAUGCGAUACUCCUUAAUAAUAAUUUUUUUAACUCGUUUCCAAUGUAAAAUGAAAAUAGAUGUAACAAUUACAAUUUUGUACAGACUGUUUCAAUACGUUUCCAUGUUUUUAAAGCCACAGUUCUAUUUUUCAGGCAAGGAAGAACACUAGGCAAACACUAACAACCAAGGUACAUGCCUUUCUUUGAACACAUAAUGGCAUUAAUAGGUGACAGCUGAGAUAUUUCCUUCAUCAGAAACGCAACUCAUCAUCUUGGCAAGUAUCAUGAGAAGAGUUCACCAAUAAUUCUCAGUAAUUCUAUUUGCAGAACAUCUAUAUGACAUGCACUUUAGCUACUGCCUAAAUAAGAAGAUAUAUGAAUAAAAAUGAGAUGAAAAACUUCAACCUGAUGAAUUGCUUUUUAUAAAACUCAAUAUUUUCUCUUUUCAAACAGUUACGGAAAACUUUAAAUACUUUAUACAACAGAAGUAAAUAUUAGUUCAAGAACCCUUACACAACAUAGUAUUGAAUUUCAUGAUGACUGAGAAUUUCAAGGGGUUGAUGGGAGUAUAAAUACCUUUGAUUUUUGAGUAAUGCUCAAUGACAUCAUCAACAAGUCCAUCAAAACUGGGAAUAUAGCAAUGGAGUCCUUCUGAGAGACCAAAUCCUGGAUAAUCCAUGGCAAAAACUGCAUAUCCAGAUGAUGCCAGCUUUCUAGCAAUUCCUGCAAAUAAUUCCAUGAAACUAUUGAGUCGCUAAUCCUCUAGGUAACUGAAUUUAGUUACUUAAAGCUACCAGUUCUUAGUACCAGCUACAUGCCUUCAAAGAAAAAGGAGCAAGUGUCUCCAUAACCAUGACAGUAAAACACUGCUGCUUUUGGCUUAGAUGCACUAGGAAGCCAACUUUUGCAGAAGAUUUCUAGGCCCUUUGAGCUCUUCUCAUAUGACUGUUGCAUAGCACACACAUUAAGAUAUCAUCACAUGUAAAAAAAAAAAAAAAACCAGGACAAUGACAAGUUGGCAUUGAUGAUAUCAACAUGUUUGAGGCAACUACUCAAAAGAAACAUGAAUUGCAUGAAACCGUUUUAGACUAAACUUCUUACUUACCUCUUCCAUUUUUAUUCCAUCACAUGGGGUCUGCAAAACAGAGAAAUAUAAAAGAGUUGAUAUUAAUAUUUAAAGGAAAUCAAAUUUUACUAAUUUAAAGUGAAAUAGCACAUCAGAUAAACACAUUCACUAUAGAAAUGUCUUUGAUGAAUUUGAAACAACAUGGAGAAAAUAACUGUACAAAUAAUUGAGUAAAGAAAGAAUGAACAGGCCACAAUACUAGAGUCCAAAAAUAAAAAUAAAAAACAAGGAACCCAAUAUGUUUAAGGAAUAAUUAGUACUCAAUCUUUACUCAACUAUCUUAAUUAUCUUGAGUCCCUACAGAUUGUUGAGCAGUUUAUGAAAUAAAAUAGUAAUGCUACAAUACGACUUUUUGAAAUGUCUCUCUAUAACACUUUAUUGGAUCGUGUUUCAAAUUUGGAAUAAACCAUCAAUUUCAUCCUUGAAGUAUUUCUCUCUCUUAAAUAGUUCUUAAAGUAAAAAAAGAAAAAUAUAUAGUAAUCCCUUGAGUAUUAGAAAUCAUGCAACAUAGUAUCUUGAGUACUGAAAAAUCUUUCAAAUUAGUCUCUCAACGUUAGUAUAAUAUAUUAACUUAGAGACUAAACUAAUAGAUAAUCAAUACUUUAUGCAUGAGGGACCAAAUUGAUAGUUUAUUCUUCAAAAAUUGCAUUCUGAAUUGGAGCAGUUCUUUCGCAAGUACAGUGCUCACAACCAAUCAAAAACUUAUAAAAUAUUAAGAUAACUUCAGCAUUGCAUUCACUGCUCGCAUGUAAGAUAUUUUAAUACAUCUUAAAAUCUUGAUAUAAUUAUAUAUAUAGCAGUAUGUCUAUGCAAGAAUUACUCUAGAAAUCGACUUUUUUUGCCCCUAAAUUAUUGAAUAACUGAACAUGGUCAAAUAAUAAGCAAAAAAAGAGUUUGAAAGAAUAACCUACCUAACAUUUUUCCUCCUGUAUUACUAUAGUUGAAUUGGUGGCUGACCCCAUUGCAUUUAAGAAGUUGCAACUCAGCUACAUUCUACAUUCAUUUAAUAGCUACAACACCCCCCCACCCCCAAAUUAGACUUGAGUUCAUUGUCUCAUCUCGCUAAUCUGACUCAUUUAAAGUUAAUUUUGUUGAAUUUGAAUUUGAGUUUCAACUCAUUUUCAUUCUAUUAACUCAACCCAGUCCAAUGUUAAUUUUAACAAGUUCAAAUUAAAAGAUUAGACUCAUGUAUUUUGAAAGAAUAGUUCACCUCACAACAACAUACCAACACCCCCCUCCCAAGGAUCCCCUUUGGCUUUACCAAAAAAGAGAUAAUUUCAGAACACAUUCUCUCGCUCUUUCCAACGGAUUUGCCAUUGCCCACUAGAAAUCUCAAAGUCAAUGUUCCAAAUCCACGUAAACAUGUUGAACCAGUCUCAACUACAUGUACUAACAAUUAAUAUACCCUCAGCAUUAAAGAAGUCCCCCCCCCCCCCCCAGAAUAAAAAAUAAAUAAAAACUUACUCACAAGACAAAACCAAACAAAUUAAAAAAAAAAAACAAGGAUUAAUUUCAUCAAUUCCACAAACAACAACAAAAGAAAAGAAACAAAACCAAACCUUAAACAAUAUAUGAUCAAUUCCAAGCUGAAUAUCCUUGAAAGCCUCACGUGCACGCCUUCUAGCACCAACUUCGUCCAUGUUAGCGUUCAAAAUCUUCUUCAAUUCUCCAUCAACACCAGGUAUCCCCAUUCUUGACACCUUUAUCACCUCUCUCCUAUUACUCCUCUUCUUUUGGACACCAAAUGCUGCUCUGAAUUCUGCACCACUUGGAUUCAAUUCUGAUCUAAUCUACAGACCUAGAGACAGAAUCAUAGGAAACAGACUCUGACACACCCCAUUAAAAAAACAACACUGGUAAUGGGAAGAGAAUAUUAAAAAGAUUACUUUUUUCUUUCACUUAUACUAUUUUUUAUCCAAAUACUACCAACCAUUCAAAGGGUAGCACCAGGAAAGCUUUGUGGGUCUCUGAGUCAAUAUGGGAUCCGCAAAAUAAGGAAUAUCUGACUCGGGAAAAAGGAUAAGGAUAUGUGGUGAAGAAAUUAAUAGUAGCUAACAAGCAGAUAAAUUUUUUAAAAAAAAGUGAAAAAUGAGAAUAAAAGUAUUUUUAUUUUAAUUUUCUUAAAUGAAAGUUAGUUAUGGAAGGUGGAAUUUGAGUAAGGUUAGAAAAUUCUUUAUUCAAAAAAUUAAAAAGAUAAGGAAAGAUAGAAGAAAAGUAGUAGUGUUCUUGUUUUCUUAGUAUGGAAGGAAGAAUUAUUAUGGAUUUGCUUGUUUGCUUAUAUGAUUUUGAAUUAAAUACGUAUUGUUAAGGUUGGGAUGAGGUUUGAAGCGGUCGGUGGAAAGUUCCAUAAAAAGGAGGAAGAAAGAAGAUUGUGGAGGUUUGAGAUUGCCUCAAUAGAGGGAUAAUUUGGAUGAUAGAUUUGUAUUUAAAUACCAGUAUACGAAAAACAAAUUUAAUCAAAAAUAUAAUUUACUUAUAGCAUUUGUAAAUAUUAUUGGUUAUUAUUCAAUGUAUUUAUAUUAAAUAUUUUCUUAAAUUAUUAGAACAAAUAUUAAGAGAAUAUUAUGAAAAGGAUAUAGUACUAUUUUUAAUUUAAAGAUAUAUUUUACUUUGCAAUACAAAUUAACCUUCUAUUACUUGAGUUGGAUUCUCACAAAUAAAAUCAAAAAGAGAUUUAAGAAGUAGUAUUUUAGUUUAGCUAAUGCAUAGUAUAAAUUUUAUUUUAUAUAAUUAAAAAUUAUAAUAAAUAAAUAUUCUAAAUAUAUAAACUUAUUAUAAUUUUAAAUCAUAUAAUAAAUAAAUAUUUUCAUAUAAGUUAUAUUUUAAAUUUAUAAUAAAUAAUUUCCAUUAUGAUACAAGAUUAUUUUUAGUUACUAAUAAUUAAAUUUAAAGAUAAAAAUAGAAAUGAUAUAUUGGAGAUAUCAAAGAUAUUGAAAGAUAAGUGAUUAAGAGUAAUUAAUAUUUUUCUUAAGAAAAUUCAACUAUUUUUCCUUGAAUCAAUAACUUGUUAGUUAAUAAAAGAAUUUAUAAAUAGAAAAAGAGUAUUUUUAAAUGAUUGAGAAAAAUAAUUUGGAAUACUUUUUAAAUCAAAUUAUAUUUAAAUUAAAAUUAAAAAAUAUUUAAAUAGACUUGUUAACUUAUAUCCAUUUAUUUUUGUUUAGAAAGAGUAAGUUAACAAUUUAUAUCAUGAAUAUAUUUUAAGAAAUUUGUAGUUUUCUACAACAAAUUUCUUUAAAAAUGAGUAGAUAUAAAUUAGCAAAUAUCAUCUUUAAAAAUGAUUAUAAAAUUAAAUUAAAUACCUAAUAUAUAAAAUUAAGAUAAGAGAUAUAGUUUAACGAGAAUGAGAAUAAUUUCUAAAAGUAAAAACCUCAUCCAACGAUAACUCAACAUUCAUAUUUGAAAAUGUCUAAUUAUUUUGUAGGUACUUAAAAAUGUCUCUUAAAAAAUUAUAAUAUGAUUUAGAUUAUAAUUUAAAAAUAAAUCAUGAAUAUAGAGAAAAUUAUACUCCUUUGUUAUAAUAAGUUAAUAACUACGUGGAACGGUUCCAGGUCCACUUGUGAGGAAAGUUGUCCACGUAUACGAAGCAUAUAAUAACGGUUGAUCUUUAUUCUUUAGGUAAGUGAUGUCACUAUCCUUAUAUAUAUAUAUAUAUAUAUAUAUAUAUAUAUAUAUAUAUAUAUAUAUAUAUAUAUAUUUAAAAAGGUAUUUUUAAAAUUAUUUUUUUAAGAAAUACAUAUAUUUUAUUUUUUAGAAGCCAGAAAAUUAUUUAUAAGAAAACAUUUUAGAGAAAUAUAUUAAAAAACAUAUAAUUACUUAUCUUGUUAAGAAAAACUUAUUUUAUAAAAUAAGUUUAAAUAAAGAAAAAAAACACAGUUUAGACAAAUAUGUUGUGUGGGACGGAGAACAAGAAUUAGACACGUAUUAAAACUCUACAAAUGAUCAUGGUUUGCUAUUGGUGUGCUGUUGCAACUUACAUAGCAUGAAAGUCAAAGUCCGAAAAGAACACUAAUCACUGUCAAGUUGUGAGUGUCCCCUCAACGAAUAUAAUAUCCACUUUGUUAAGGCAAAUACACCAAAUAGGAACGCAUAGGGGCUGUUCUACAAUUAUUUAUCUGGGAGAUCUAUUUUUAUAUUACAAAGAGCCCCUAGACAGCACUUCCGCUGAGCACGUGNNNNNNNNNNNNNNNNNNNNNNNNNNNNNNNNNNNNNNNNNNNNNNNNNNNNNNNNNNNNNNNNNNNNNNNNNNNNNNNNNNNNNNNNNNNNNNNNNNNNNNNNNNNNNNNNNNNNNNNNNNNNNNNNNNNNNNNNNCAGUCUCUUUUUCUCACACCCCCCAACCUCUUCCCACACCCCCACUCAAAAAUUGUAUAUUUUUUAAUUUGUUUAUAAAAAAUUUAAUUAAAUUUUGUUUCAUUUUUAUUAUUAGUAUUAUUUGUUAUUUUUUUAUAUUCCCACACCCCCACCCCAAAAUUUCAAUAAGAUUAUUUUUUAUACACUCUAAAUUGUAUAUUUUUAAAUUUGUUUAUCAAAAAUUAAAUUUUUUUUCAUUUUUAUUAUUAGUAUUAUUUGUUAUUUUUUUAUAUUCCCACACCCCCACCCCAAAAUUUCAAUAAGAUUAUUUUUUAUACACUCUAAAUUGUAUAUUUUUUAAUUUGUUUAUCAAAAAUUAAUUUUUUUUUUCAUUUUUAUAUUAGUAUUAUUUGUUACUUUUUUAUAUUUUAUUAUUCUCUCUUUUUGAAGUAUAUAUAAGUACAUUUUCAAUAAAAUACAUUUUGAAAUCCUAAAAUGUUUUAAAAUGCUUUUUGAUUUGGCCAAUUCUUUUUUGAUUUGGCUAUUAAAUUACGUUAGAGAUCACUUUUGGUUUAUGUGUCAUUAACAUUAUGGUUAUUUAUUUUUAUUUAUUUUAAAAGCAUUGCACAAUAAGAUUGAAACAUUAAAGUGACAAUAAUAUAAAAUUAACAUGAAAAAAAAUCAUACAAAGUACAUGACAAUAUGAAACACAUGGAAAAAAAUAAUAAAAAGUACAUGAAAAUGUUAAACCAUGCGAAAAAAAUGUAAACUCAUUAUUAAUCAAUCAUCACUAUGUCUGUGAUGUCGCGACGAAGUCCCACAUGGCCGGUCCCAAUUUCUAGCUGCCCUAUUAGAAUUUCUUCUUCUACGAUUCACCCUUUCAUCCACUUGGUUAGCCUCGGCAGAGAAUCAUGACGUAAAUCGACCCUUAAUAAGUCGUCCAUGUCGGGUAUAUCUUCAGGUACAUUCCACGAACCAGCAAGUGGGGCAUUUUGGGUCGAUACUUGACCACUUUGAGUAAAUGAAGGAGUUCCCGUUGAAGGAGGAGAGGACCCAAAUAUGCCUGCAAAACUAUACCCUGGUUGAAAAUCAUGUGGGUAUGAAUACAUCGGCGGCAUUUGAGACGGUUCUUGGGUGAAUGCCGGCGGUGUGUAAUACAUUCCAUGUUGUCGUUCUGGCAUCGGAGGCAAACUAUACGUUGCUGCAUCAACAGUUUCCCGACGUCGCGCUAAGCCUCGAGUCUCUACACUUUGCUGUAGUAUAUUAAACUGUUGAUGUUCAAAUUGUGGCUGAGAAGAGGGAGCAUCUUCAUGUGCCUCAAGUAUCCUAUCCUCUUCGUCAGACAAAAGAGUGAUCUUCUCGAUACAUGGCAGUAAAUCGUCAAAAGUACAAACUCUUCUCCCAACAGGCGACACCAUAAAAUAUAGUGUUUCGGCGAUUUCACCCUGCAUAGAAAAUAAAUGAAUAGUUAUUAAAAUAAUUUUCAAUAAGCGCAACAUUAUUUUCUAAAUUAUAAUGAACAAUGUAUACCAAUAGUCCUCUUCUUGCAUGUUUUGGGUCGACAUAAACUUUUGUUUUACGCCUGUACCACCUCAUAUAUUCAGAGUUCAGACUGAGGGUCCUUGUUUGUGGCGGCGUUUGCUCUACUCUCAUUUCAUAGCGACUAUUCCAUUCAUUAAGCGCGGGUUACAUUAGUCGCAUCCAAUUUUUUCCUUCCUUUCCCUUUAAUGUCAAGUCAUGUAUGUUGUUGGGUUGCAUUACUGGUCCCGGAGUAGGUUGCUGCAUUCCAAAUUGUCUCAUGACUCUAUCCGGCUGGUGCCAUUCCACUUUUUGAAAACAAAUAAGUGGUAUGAUACAAUCCCAUAAUACAGACCCAAAAAAACAAACUUGACUCAAAUUCAUUUUCACAUGUCCAGCAUAAGGGACCCAGACAAACUGCAUAUAAAAGUUAAAUUUAAUAAAUUAAUUAAGAAAUACAACAUCAUUUAAUAAACAAACAUCAAAAUUGUUAUCUCGUCGCGUUUCAUGACAUCUAAUUUACGACAAAACUCAAUUAAAUUGUCAUUGCCUAUGUGAUGCAAUUCACCUCCCAACCAUCUUCACAAAAAAUUAAAUAACAAAAUAAAAUGAUACAUAGAAUAAUGAUUAACAUCAACCAAGCAUGUUUAUUAAUAAUCAAUUCAAAAUAGUAAAGGAAAGUAUACCUGUAACCAAGUGGCGCGUUUUGUUGUUGUGGAGGAAUAACUGAGGGGGCUAACGUUGGGCAUCGUUCCCAUGCCCAUAAUUGAAUCAAGAGAGUGAAAUCGCCUAUUGAUUUAGUAUUAUAGUAUGUUGCGAUGCACAUCUCUCUAUAAAGGUUACCCAAAACAGCAGCUCCCCAUGCAUAACUACUGCACUCUCUAAGGUCUCUCAGAAAUUGCAAAUAUUUCAAAUGCACCCUUUUGUUGCUUUUGUCAACAAACAUUACCCCUCCUAUAAAUCGUAAGAUCCAAGCACGAGCAAAUCUUUCAAGGCCGUCUUGGCUGCCUGUAAAAUCAUGAAUAUUUGCAAAAUGAGAAGACAACCAACUCAAUUUAAUUGAGUUUCCAUCAACUGCAGCAUCGUCAGGCAUGACACCCAAUAAUUCAUGAAACAACUCAAACCAGUCAAUAUUUGUAUUUCCAAUUAAAGGUCUUCCAUCCACAGGAAUACCAAGUAGCACAGAAACAUCUUGAAGUGUAAUAGUUGUCUCCCCACACUUCAAAUGAAAUGUAUGCGUUUCUGGCCUCCACCUUUCAAUAAAAGCAUUAACCAAUGCUCCAUUCACUUUCAACUGUGCCAAUUUCAUUAUCAGGUACAAACCCAAAAUUUGUAAUAGAGGAAUAAUUUCUUCGGGCGGUGCUUCUCUAUGAUUGUAUAGUGGUGUGGCUCGUUGGAUUUUUAACAUCCUAUCAUUAGCAUCAUUCUAAAUAUGUUGGGAUAUAUGAUUUUUUUGCAUCCACAAUAAAUCAUCCUCUAAUGGUCCAGAUGCCACGCCAUAAUGAUGAGAAGAUGACGAACUAGCCAUAUUAAAACUCCUGUAUAGAAAGAAAAAAAAAUUAAUAAUCACACAUAUAAUAAAUAAUAAAUAAAGUCAAGUACGUACACAAACAAUAUUCUAAAAAAAUACAUAGUUUAAAUUUUAGAAACGAACACGUAAUUUAAGUUUUCUUCACAUUGAAAAAUUUUUUUCCUUAAUUUUCAGAAAAAAUUAUAAUUUUUUUCUCAAUUUCAGCAAUUUCAAAAAACAUAUAUAUAUAUAUAUAUAUAUGUUUAUUGAAAUUGCUGAAAUUGACAAAAAAAAUAUAUUUUUUUUAUUAUAUAUAUAUAUAUAUAUAUAUAUAUAUAUAUAUAAUAAAAAAUAAUUUCUUCACAUUGAGGAAUUUUUUUCUCAAUUUUCAGAAAAAAUAUAUAUUUUUUUCCUCAAUUUCACCAAUUUCAGAAUAUAUAUAUAUAUAUAUAUAUAUAUAUAUAUAUAUAUAUAUAUAUAUAUAUAUAUAUAAUGCCUUUCUUUUUUAAAUAUGCCUAAUAACAAUAUUACAGUAAUAUUUAUUAUGAAUCUUAAUUAAAUUUAUAUUCUAAAAAUUAAACAAUUGUAACAAAAAUAAACAAUUUGUUAUAUAAUUAAUAAAAAAUAACUAAAAUAAUAAACAAAUUAAACUAACAGCAAAAAUAUAUAAAGAUAAAGAAAAUAAACUUGUUGUUGUGUUGUGAGUUAAUACAAUUUUCUUGUACACAAGAUGACUACCUGCAAAAAAAACAUACAAAUAAUAAAAUAUAACAAUUUAUAAAAAAUAAAUAAAUUUGAAACAAUAAAAAAAUUAACAUACCAACUUUGCUAGGAGAAGGAAAACAAAAAUGAAAUGCUGGGAGGGGAGGGACAAGCCUCGGGGAUAGAGGGGAGCUUGGGGGAGAAGGAGGGAGUGGGGUGGGGACCAGGUGCCCUUAACGGGCUGGAGGGGGUGGGGGAGAGGGACGCGCCUGGUCCCUAGGUGCCCGCAACAAGGGCGUCACCAGUCGCGCCCAGUCCCAGGGCGCUAGCAGACGCGCCCGCGUCAGGGGCGCUACCUGCUGUCUCCUCGUGCGCCGCGCUGAUGCCACAUGUCGCCUUGUGCACGGAGGCGUCUGUCUGGGGGGCUCUUUGUAAUAAAAAAAGCAGACCCCCCAGGUAAAUAAUUGCAUAACAAUCCCUAUUUGAUAAAUAAAAUGUAAAAGUGCCCCUAUUUAAUGUUUUUGCCCACUUGUUAAUGUUCUUGAAAUAUUUGCCCUUCUACAGACAGAUUUUAUUAGAAGUGAUAAAAUUUAUUUUGAUAAUUUUUAUAUUUUGAGGGUUAAUUUUAUAAUAAAAAUAUUUUAUUUUAAAAAAUGUUGUCGAAAAACACUUACUCACACUCACUAUUGGCUCUAUGCCCGAUAAUUAUCUUAUAAAAAUUAAAAUUAAAAUAAUUAUAUUAAAGAAGAGUAUUUUUGGAAAUUAUAUUUUGACAACAAUAUACUUUUUUUAAAAAAUAUCAAUAUUUUAUCUUUUACAAUCUAUUAUUUUAUAUUAUUUUUUUAAAAGUUUUUAUAUUUUUAUAAGAUUACAAUCCCUCUGUAAUAUCUGCACGGAUAGAAAGAAAUUGGAUCUCUAUCUCACACCACAGUGCUCACUAAGUAGAAGAUUGUUUCACAUUUUCUCCCUUUCACUCUUGCAUGUUUGGCUAGUGUUAGGGAAAAUGGUUUUCUUUUAUUGUGUGUUAUAUUGUUCAAAUACACAGAGAUUUUGAUAGAAUUCCUAUUUGUAUUUACAAUUUUAUCAUUAAUGAAAUGAGGUGACACAGUUUCGUUAAAAAAAAAAAAAAAAGCAUCUCUUGUAUGUAGGCAGCAUAUAAUCACAUUAUACCUACUCAUAAUCUUAUCCUGGACGAGUUUAUGUGUGGACCUCUAAUUUAGUUUAAUUCAUUUAAUCUAAAUAAUUACCUUUUUUACGUACAUUAGGAUUUUUUUUUUACUGCAUUUGCAUUAGGAUUUUAUUCUCAAUAUAAAAAUUCCUAUACAUUUAUAUAUCUUGAAAUUAAAACAAAGAGAAAACCCUUAAACAAUCCCUUAAAAUUACAUGCAUCACCACCAUAUCAGACCUUUAAAAUUUAGGACAAAUAAAUUAUUAGUCAAUCAGAAAUUUUAUUGUUAUAUUAUUAAUUCUCUAAGAAUUUUAUUACCAAAUUAGUCUUCCAAAUUAAAUUUGAUUUGCCAUCAAAAUUAAUCUCUCGAAGAUCUAAAAUAUAAUCACAUAAAUUUUGAUGAAAAUUUAAAGCGAUUACAUAAACAUUUUUUGAUAGAUCAACCUAGAUAAUUUUUUUUAAAAUAAUUAAAAUGAUAACAAAUUAAUAUUUAAAAAAACUAAUUCAACAAUUAUAAAUAAGAAUCCUCAUCGUUGAAUUGAAUGAAAAUAUUUUUAGGAAUUUUUCACAUUUGUGUUUUAGGAGAAUUCUCACUUUUGUUGAAUAACAUAUGUUAUGUUUUUUUUUAAACAAUAUAUUUUAUCUUAAUCUUAUAUAUAUUAAGAAUUUAGCUCUAUUUUUUAAAGAAUAUAUCUCAUAAUUUAAAUUUUAAAUUUAAUUUGAUUUAACAAAUAAUCCAAAAAAAUGAUUUCUUGAUUAUUUCAAUAUGCUCUCUAUUCAGCAAAAAAAAUCUCAAUAUACUCUCUUUUCAAUCUUUAUAUAUAUAUAUAUACUUCAUUUUCUAAACCACUUAUCUCUUUGAGCCUACUUUUUUCAUCUUUACUAUUAAAAUAAUUUUCAAUAACUUUUUUAAAAAAUUAUAAUUAAAAUAUAUCUCGUAUCACAAUAUAAAUUAUUUGUUAUAAUUCAAAAUAUAAUCAUAUAUCAAACAAAUAUUUAUACAUUAUAAAUUUUACGUAUAUAUUUUCUCCACAUGUUUUACCAGUUAAAAUACUAAUUAAAUUUUAAAAAAGGUAAUGUAAUAACGCCCACAAUUUCAAAAAAAAAAAUGAACUAAGAUUUUUGUCCGGAAGAAACGUUACUAGUAGUAUUUUAAGGGAAACGUGACAAGUUAUUAGUACAGUCAUUAAAGAAGCAUGCAUAGCAAUUAGCAUAGGUAAAACGUGGGAAUGAAUAGGAUGAGACGAGAUGAUAGCAAUGAACGACGUCGUGUGAACCCCCCAAACAAACCGUACCACACGUAUCUUCCAUUAUUAUAAAUCGAAUCCAGCUCCCAUUUUUCUCCUCCUCUCCUUUCUCCUAGCUCCACCUCCCUUCAUUUCUCUCUCUCUCUCUCUCAGGUUUUUUUUUCUCUCUCUCUCUCUAACAUGUUAUUUUGUUCUAGAUCGAACCAUGUUUUAAAUAUCAUAGUUUCUUCAAAAUUUUGGCAAAGUUGUGUCUUUUGGUUUGGAGUCUCAAACAUAACAUGUUUCCUAGGACAGAUCUUUCCACACGUUACUAUGUUGUUGUCUUUUUUUUUUUUUUUUUUAAAUGUUGGGAAAACGUGUGUUUUUUUUGGUGGGGAUUGGAGAUUUAUUUCGAAGGCCUCUUUUUGGGUCCUAGGUUUUGGGUGCUUUUUGAAAAUGGAGGCAUUGGGUUUUUGUGGGUUAAGUUGACCUAAAUGUUGGUUUUUUGAGGUGUGCCAUCAUGGGUCUCUUUGACCUGGAAAAUGAAGUUUGAAAUUUUUUCAUGCUUUGAGCUCAGAUUUGAUGGUUAUUUGUGAAAAUUCGUUGAACCCUUAUCUGCUGGUUUUGAAAAAUUGUACAAGAGUGAAAUGGGUUGCGGAAUUAUAAUUUUCCAAUGUUUUGUGUUUAGGCUGAAUGAAUCUGUUUGCGUAUUGGAGUAGUAGUGUUACAAUUUUUUAGAUCAUGCUCUUAAUUUCUUUGUUAAUAAGAAACUUUUACAUGUGUGUGUGUGUGUGUGACAUUAUAUCAGAAUAAUUUUGUUGUAUAGAUUGGGGAUGGUGUUACAAUUCUUAAGGUCAUGCUCUCAAUUUGGGCAUGUUCUGAGUAUAACUUUAUUUUAUUUUGUUGUAUAGGCGUUCUACUGUGGAAAAAAGGUGAUUUUGAAGAUGAACUGUUAUGGUCUUCAGCAGAACGCCUUUGCAGCCUGUGAAGAGAUGAGAGGCUCUGUGAAUUUCGUUGAUCAGAAGGAGCCUGUCAUUUGCCCUAAGCCGCGCCGAGUUGGGGUUGCAUCUAACAUGCCUACGAGGCAUUUCAGAUGGCAUUUCAAGUAAUUUAUUGGAAUCCAUUGCAUCCCUUUUGAGUUUUGUUGACAUUAAUUUGUUUUUGAAGCCUCUCAAUGUCUGAUCUGUUGUGUGUUUCAAUAUUUCUUGUAGUCCACAGGCUGAGGGUUCUGACACAAAAGCUGGGGCAGAACUAUUAGAGAUAAUGUUUAAGAAGGUAAGCCAUGACUUUAUGACAAAUUUCUCUAGUGUGUAUUUAAGCCUAGGAAGUUAUAUGUCAAUUAGGAUAGUCUUGGCACCAUGGUAAUGUAUAAAUUUUUAGUGUGAUGCAUGCUUUGCUUCUUUUGUUAGACAUUUGAUUUAUUUGAAUCAAGGUUUUAAAAAAUGGUUUGCUACCAUGAUUUUAGCCUUUAUGUCAAGGUUUUUGGACUUUUUGCAAUUGCAAUUGUGGCUACAUUGGCUGCAUUUGCCUGCAAUGUUCAAAAUCGUGCUGAAACCCUGACUAGAAUUUAAAACCUUGAUUUGAAACUUUGGAAUGGUUUUAAUUUGAAACUUUGUAGAGGCAUAUAGUUUUACAUGAGAAUAUGGUUAUUAUUGAGGGGUAUUUUUGAUAAAUUUCAUAGAUCAUAGAUUGAGAUUUUGGUGUAAUGAAUGUUCUCUCUCGUAUAUAACUUUGACUUAUGAAAUGGUAUGCUUAUAUAAACAGGAGAGUCAUGGGCAGGAAUAUGCAAAUCAGGUAGCUUCAUCUCCUCCAUUUUUUUGCGGGUCUCCUCCAGUCCGGGCUGCAAAUCCCUUGGUCCAGGAUGCUCAUUUUGGUGAUGAAAAACAUUGUCCGUCAUUAUUAAUUUCAUCGCCGUCGGGUUUACUAUCUCCAUCUUCGGCGUCACGCAAAGGAGGGUGUGUUAGGAUGACUUUCGGACUUAAACCUGCUGCAGUUAGAGUAGAGGGAUUUGAUUGCCUCAACAAGGAUUGCCAGAAUUCUAGAAUCACUGUUGUUGCUUAAACUCCAUUCAGAGAAUUGUACAUAGAGGAAGCUGAGUGUGACUGCUUAUAAAAAUGACUUGACUCAACUAGGAUGAAUAUCUUUGAGUAGGUUGAGGGAAAUGCUGAGGAAGCAAACCUUGUGUUCUUGAGAAGGUUUGAUGUGUAAAGAGACCAUGUUAUUUUUGUAAUGCAAGGUUGGAUCUGAGUGUUUUCUAAUUUUUUUUUAGGUCAUCACCACUAGAAUGUCCUGUAUAGAGAGUUGGUGAUUUUGGUUAUCAAUCUUGUGAAUAUGUUUAGCUAAAUUUAAACGCAUAUUUAUUGUAUUUAAUGAAAUUAAACUGGUAUUUAUAUUUUAUAAUGAGAAAUGCCAUUUCUAACCCUUGUUUAAAGCUUGGUGUGGAAUAUUGUGAUUAUAGGAAAAGUAACAGUGCUUUGUUUCAAGACCAUUGACAAUCAAUUAUUUUUUAGAUUAGUAUGUAUGGUUUAGUUUAAUUUAGGUUAGAGAAUUGACCAUUUUUUUAAAGUUCUUUUAUGAAGAUGAAUCUUGAAAGAAAUAAAUGAUUAUUUUUUAAAAAUUUAUUGAAUCAAAUAUUGCAAUUCUUAGUUGUGGAAAAUUUUCUUUUGGAACGAGGAGUGACUUGGGAUGAUUGUUUUGAAAGGAAGUCAUUGUGAGAUUGUUGUAUCUCUGCUUAUUAUGAUUGUUUUCAAAGGAAGUGUUUCCAAGAUUGUUAUGUCUCUCUCUUUUUUUUUACACAAUGUUAUGUUCGGUAUUGUUUGUUUUAGUUUUUUAGCUUCUCUUUUCAAAAGUAAUUGCUCUUUUAAUCAAAGUAUUUUGUGCCAAAAAUAUUUUUGGCCUGAUUUUAAAUAUUAAUUGCUUUGGAAGUACAGAGUUUCCCUAAAGUUUUAUGAUACCACAUUUUUAUAUAUAAGAUUAAAAAUUAAAUUUUAGUUAACAUGUUCAAGAAAUUUAACUAAAUUCUAUUGGCUCUUCUAAUUAGUUCAUAUAGAAGCUUCGUUUUUAAACUUUAUUAAUUAGAAAGUAUUGUAAUUUUAAUCUUUAUUUCAAAAUAUUUUUUUUAUUAAAAAAAUAUUUAAUUAAAGAAUAUUAUAAAGUAUUAAUAACCAACAUAAUUUGUUUCAAACGUUGGAGAUUUUGAUUUUGAUAAUUAACUUAAUUUGUUUUUGAAUGUUAGAGAUUUGUUAACUAAUAAUAUUUGUUUUGACCAUUUAAAACAAAUUAAUUGAUAAUAUUUUUCAACUGUGAUUUUAUCGUAUAUUUGUUUGCAACAAAAAAUUAUUUUUAUUUUAAAGACUUUUAUUUUUAAAUUAUGUCUAACUUAAUUUCUCUGGUUAGGAGAAGACUAGAGCAAAUUCUAUCUUAAUCAAAUGUUAGUCGCCAACAAUAGAUUGCGGUGUUAUACUUGUAUUGACAAGGGAGUUAUGGUUGUUGGUUUAAGGAAGUCAUGCGUGAUGUGUAAGAAUGAAUUAUUUUGUGUUGUUCAAAUCACGAAAUAUUUUUUAUUUAUAAUGAUUGUGGUUUAUAAAGUUAGGAAACAAAGUAAUGAAUAAUAAUGGAAAUAAUCUGAUACUUAAUUAUUGUAUUUAAAACAUAUCAAAUCAUAUAUUUCACGCACUGCUUCAAGUUGGAACAUAUAUGUCAUGCGAAUAAAGCUUGCAAAUGUGGUAUACUAAAUAGAAACAAGUAAUGGGUCCAAGGGUGCGUAGGAUAAGCAUGGCACGAUGGCAACCAACGAAGACCCAUAGUGGCGACCGAUGUUCACCCUCGAAUAAAGCACACUUUGAGGUGGAAGGAGGUGAUUCCAGUGCGACGCUUGUCGAAGAUGCGUCAUGCAUUGUGUGCGUGAACUUCAUGCACUGAAAAGGGUCCCGUGUGGGGUUGCGUGCGAUGGUGUCUUGAGUUGGUUGCACACAUAGAUGUUGUGGCAGUGGUUGUUGGGAGGUGGAGACUCUGAGUGCUUGGUCACGCUGAAGAUAGGAAGGCGCGACGACUGCUAAUGGAGGCUUCUGGUAGCUUGUGGUAUUGUUCAUGCAAGAACGAAGGGACACUACACUGAUAAAGAAACCAAAACUGGUUGGCGCACAUAAGAAAGGAGAAAGGAUUAUCAAAAGAAGGGUGGCGAGCGCAAAGGUACACCAGAGACAAUAGGUCCCCAAUGGAGAAUGACUUUUGUUAUUCCUCUAUCAAGAAUAAUAUGCUCUAAUACCAUGUAAAACAAUAGAAACAAAAGGAAGUUGAGUGAAAACUUGUCAAAGUACACAAUGAGUUGCUUGUUUAAAUAGAUGUGCGAUAAUAAUUACACAUAAUUAGAGGAGAUUAAAUUUCCCCUAAAUUAGAUCCUAACAAAUCAAUUUAUAAUAAAUUAUAUAUUUAUUCCUAAUUUUCAACAUUCUCCCUCAAGCAAAAGCUUACUAAAGAGAAAUGAAAGGCGGUUUCAACUAUGUGGUUGUGCCAGAUAAAUGAUGGUCGACGGUAGCCAACGAAGGCCUGCAAUGACAAUGGAGACCAGUGUGACCCUCAUAAAAAAUGUGUCACAUAUUAUCUACGUGAACUCCAUGCGCCGAAAAAGGUCCUUGCAUGGGGUCGUGUGUGGCAAUGUUUUGAGUUGGUUGCGCACGUGGACGACAUGAUGAUCUUUGGCAAUGGGUGACAAUGGAAAAGGCAUCGGGAAGUUUGCCAAACAAGGGUAAAGUAGUCAUGUAGCUCUAUUCACGGCAAAGAGGGGUUGUGCUAAAAAGGAAAACAAAGGGAACCGUUUGCUGGUAGUUGGGUCACCGACCAAUGAGGGAUAAUUUUCAUUAUCUAAUACCAUGUAAGAAAUAUUUAUUGUUGUGGAUCAAACCAUACGAAAUGCUCUUAUUUAUAACAAAUAAGAUUUACAAAAUAAUAAGUAAUAAUAGAAAUAAUCUCAUAAAAUACUAUAAGUAAAACAUAUCAAAUUAUAUAUUUAGCCAUUUCACAAAUGUCAUGAUUUUCAUUUUCUUGUUAGUAAUUAUUGAAUAUAUAAACUAGAUGUCACUCAGCCUUUUUUGUGAAUAACUAGUAAAAUCUUUAUUUUUCAAGUUAAAUGUGACAGAAUCAUGUUCAUUUGAUGGUUACACUAUCAGAAAAAAUAUUAAUAAUGUUUAUAAGUCAAUGGAUUGAGAUAUAUCAACGGAUUCCAAACCAAGAAUGGCAGCAAGGAAUAAGUCUCUCUUACACAAAUUUGUUGUUGACUCAUCUAAACUAUUUUUGGCAAGUCAACUGCAAUUUUUUACUAUUGCUGCAACUUUCAGCCAUGUUUGUUGUUGUCUUAGUUACAUCAAUCCUCCAACUUCAUCAUUCUUCCAUAUUAUUUGCAUUAUACCCCACGGGAGAGGUAAUAUGUCUCUCUUUUAGUACUAUAAUUGAUGCAUCUUUCAACGCAGUGGUUGUUGCAAUUUUUUAAAUUUCCUCUCCCCAAAAUUUUGUAAAACCUUGAAUAUUAUGAACUUAUUUGAAAUUUUUUGCAAAAUUUAUUAAAGAAAUUGAUUUCAUGCUAUAUGGAGUAUGGAAUAAGGCUAUAUAUGUCUCUUCAAAUUUUAAUACACUAAUGAAAGAAUAUUUUUUCCAUGUACAUUCUAUAUAUAUAUAUAUAUAUAAAAUAAAAAGAGGAUAGUCAGAAGGAUUCCAAUGUACGAAAGGGAACUAUUCACUAUAAGAAUAAUUGAGUAAAUACUUAAAGCAUGCUAAAUUUUUUUUAUAGAAUACUAAUUAAUUCUAAAGACUUAGGGUCCGGGUCAGGAUGUGUGUGACUUUUUUUUAUUUUUUAGUUUCAACUGUAAAUUUUUAAAACAAAUUGUAUUUGACAAAAAAUAAAACUAAAAUAGUUAAUUCAAUUUCAAAAUAUUUUUACCUUCAUUUUUAAAAUCAAGAAAAAUAUUAUUUUUAAUUUUAAAAAAGUACAGGCACUUUACAUUUGAUAAUAACACUUCUCACCACCAUCGCUAGCACCAGCACUUCUGUCACAACCACCACCACCACCGACACUGCACCUUCCCUACAAUCAUCACCAACAUCGUCGCCGUAACCACCAUUAGCACGAUCACCACCUCUGCCGAUACUAUUGUUGUUGUCAUCACCAUUGUCACCACCACGAGCACUAUUAUUGUCUUGACUGCCAACAUAUUACCAUCACCAUUACUACCAUCACUAUUGUCUUCACUUACAACAUUGUCACCAUCAUCACUAUUGCUACCAUCACUGUUGACACUAUUGUUGUCACACUAUUGUUAUUGCAAUCACCAUUAACACCGCUACCACGAUCACUACUACUACUACUACCAGCACAAUCAUCACUAGCCACCACUAUAAGCUAGCAGUACCAUUUGGCACUUAUUGUCACCAAUAAGUCACUAACAUUACUAUCACCACCAUUGAUACUAUCAUUAUUGUUGUUAACGUCAUCAUCACCAUAAAAACACACUCAUUUUAAUAGGAUUGAAAACUUUUAAAAUGAGUAUUUUAAAACUAAAAAUUAGAAAGCAACCAAACUUUAAAGACUAGUUUUAAAAACUUUUGUAACUAAAACUAAAAAUUGAUUGUUAUUUUUAAAAAUUUUAAACUUCCAAUUAAAAACCACCCAUACGGAUCCUUAACUAUUAUAUUAUGUAAUAUUAUCAUAUUACUUGUAUUUUAAAAAAAAGUAUAAUACUCAUUAAAAUGAAGUUGAUUGGUAAAAUAUCAAUUGUUUGGUGAAUUGUAUGACUUUGUCAUGACUUGGUUGAUUAUGUUUAGUGUGAUGUCUCUCCUCCUAACAAUAUUUUUUAUUCAUAAAAUUUGAGAUCAAGACCUUCUUUAAAGAAUUUGAGUCUGUUAUACUUGGAUUAAUAUAAUAUUGAUUAAAAGUUUGCAUAUUUGAUCUACUGAGUGAGAAUUUUCGAUAUAACAGUUGGAUUAAGAAAGAAUUGAUGUUCACAAAAAGAUUAUUAAACAAAGUAUAUUUAAAGAAACUUGCUUCUAGGAUGAGUAUAUUCACAUCCACAAAUAAAUAUUUGGAAAAAAAAUCCUUUGAUUUGUGUAUUCACCAUUGACUUUGAAUAUGUCAUGAUGUGGUCAUGGGAGUAAAGGAGGUGAAACUUAUCUAUUUCUUUAUCUUAUUGUAUCAUUGUUAUAUCGAAAGGGUCCAAUCUAAAUAUUAAUGCAACCUACUAACAACGGUGUCGAGAUAAGUUACCUAUAACUACUCACAACUUAGAACCAUGAUUUAUCUAUCAGUUGCUAAUCCAUAACUAUCAAGUUACAAACAAUAGAAUCAUCUUGAGAUUAAUUGUCAGCUAAGGAUCAGAUUCAGGCAAUUCUAGAAAAAAAAAAGUAUUUGGUAGAACCAGAGCAUGACCAAAUCUGAUUGUGUUUUUAUGUGUUAUCCAAAUCAUAAUUUGAAAAUUGCAGUGAGGAGAUGAGAAAUGGAACAAACAAAACGGUUUAGUUGCAGUUGAUGGUUAUUGCUUGGAAAGAAAAGUUUCUGAAACCAACAAAAAUUUGAAUUUGAUAUCGCUUUCUUUGCACAUAAAUAACAAAACGGUUUGGUAGCAGUUCCUUAGUAGAUUUUGUUGCUAUAUACCAUACAAAAUAUCUGUGUUUCCAAGAAUUAUGGGGCUCAUGUUUGGUUUUGAAAGUUCAGUAGCAACAUGUUUACAAACUAUCUCUUGAACUUCAUUUCUUGGAAAACCAGAGUAUAAAGAACAUUCAUACAUCAGAUUUGUGACAAAGUAAGGCCAAGCUCAACUAAACUAUGCUGUGUACUUUGAAUAACGCAGAAAGAAUUCCUUUGUUAACCAUCAUUUAGUGACACAAUUAACUUAAAUUUAGAAGAGACUAAUUUCAACCCACAAGAUGGAAAUGCAAGGACAAUGGGUUCUUGAAGUUAUUUGGAAACAAAGCAACACAACACAAUAGCUUAUUCAUUAGUUCUCAUCCAUUAAUUUCCAUUGAAGUCCGAAAACAGAAACCAAAAAUACAGGAUGAUGAAAUCUCAUAAAGCAAAAACAAAUGGGAAUGUAGUUUAAGUACAACAAACAAAGUGGGGUGGCUACAGAUGCUUUGCAAAUUUUUCAAUGACUUAGAAGCCUGGGGGCUUGUAGGCGAUGAAGCUGAUGCACUGCACUUGGCGAACGUUGUCAAAUCCAAUGAUACGGAUGAAGCCAUUGGGGUAUGCAGUCUUAGCCUCUUGAAGCUCCUUCAACACCUGAGAAGCAUCAGUGCAGCCAAACAUAGGCAGCUUCCACAUGGUCCAGUAGCGUCCAUCAUAGUAUCCAGGUGACCUGUUGUGCUCACGGUACACGAAACCGUGCUAUAUACAAACACAACAAACAUAUCAACCAUCAAAACUCAAAACCAAGUGCUUGUUUUGUAAUAAUAGGGACAGAUUUGAUCAAUAUUGAUAAGUCUGAGAUAGAAAAAUCCAUUAGAUAAACUUAAAUUUUGGAAAACAACCACUUCUCUUUUUUUUUUUUUUUUUUUUGUUUCCAAAAGUACUUUUAGCACGCCAGCAAGAGAAGCGAUUAUUUCUUCAAAAUAAGUUGAAACAAACUAAGACUAAGAAACUAUAAUUAAACCAAAAGGGGUUGCAAGAAAUUGACCUCCAACUCGAAUUCCAAGCAAGGAAUCCAUCCUUUCCUUAGAAGGUAUUCGACUUCCUUUGCCAAUUGGGCAUCAUCGAGGUCUGGCAAGUAGGAAAGAGUCUCGAACUUCUUCUUGCCAAUUGGUGGCCACACCUAGUAAUUUGCAUGAAAAGUUAGUUAACAAACAUGCACAUGUGCACAUUUUCCUAUGACUAACAUGUUAAUUUAAGUAACCUAUGACUAACAUGUUAAAUUAAGUAACAUUUUGGAGCAUAUAUAAAUGUGUAAGAUGAAUUUUAAACUUUUUGGUGCCUCUUGUGUGUAUAUAUGUGUGGAGUUGUCUUACCUGCAUGCAUUGUACUCUUCCACCGUUGCUAGCAAUGGAGGUAAUGUCAUUGUUGGUCUUCCUCGUGGGGAAGCCAGCCAUGGAUUUGAGGCCGGUGAAUGGAGCAACCAUGCCGGCACCGGCACGGUUGACGGUGG